This 460-nucleotide ribosomal RNA is filed under the name uncultured bacterium. Its description in RNAcentral is "partial 16S ribosomal RNA". It matches the Rfam family "Bacterial small subunit ribosomal RNA", at positions 338 to 795 of the family's 1533-position model. The record is from RNAcentral.
CCUACGGGAGGCUGCAGUGAGGAAUAUUGGUCAAUGGCCGGAAAGCUGAACCAGCCAUGCCGCGUGAAGGUCAGUGCCCUAUGGGCGUUAAACUUCUUUUGUGCGGGCGCAAUAAUGGUCACGUGUGGCCAGACGAGAGUACCGUACGAAUAAGCAUCGGCUAACUCCGUGCCAGCAGCCGCGGUAAUACGGGGGAUGCAAGCGUUAUCCGGAUUUAUUGGGUUUAAAGGGGUCGUAGGCUGUGGGGGAAGGAAGCGGUGAAAUGCCCCCGCUCAACGGGGUGAAGGUCCAUUGAUACUGCCUUGCUGGAAUGCUGAUGCCGUGGGAGGAAUGUGUGGUGUAGCGGUGAAAUGCAUAGAUAUCACACAGAACACCGAUUGCGAAGGCAUCUCACGAAUCCGCGAUUGACGCUGAUGCACGAAAGCGUGGGUAUCAAACAGGAUUAGAUACCCUUGUAGUC